Molecule: transfer RNA, 72 nt
Filed under: Camelus bactrianus (Bactrian camel)
Lineage: Eukaryota; Metazoa; Chordata; Mammalia; Artiodactyla; Camelidae
Also listed under: 3 other names
Rfam family: tRNA
About the family: Transfer RNA (tRNA) molecules are approximately 80 nucleotides in length.
Source: Rfam by way of RNAcentral
GAGGGUGUAGCUCAGUGGCAGAGUGCAUGUUUAGCAUGCAUGAGGUCUUGGGUUCAAUUCCCAGUACUUCCA